Schistosoma haematobium is the source of this 45-nucleotide non-coding RNA. Lineage: Eukaryota; Metazoa; Platyhelminthes; Trematoda; Strigeidida; Schistosomatidae. The record is from Rfam.
AUCCAGUUGAUGAGUCCAAAAUAGGAUAAGACGUGUGUCCUGGAU